AGAGCCUGAAAAUGAUAAAUUCAAAUGAUUAGAUCUCAUCCACAAUCAAUAUUUUAGUCAUGCAUGAAGCCAUGAACUAUUUCUUUGUGCAAUUUAUUAUGGUACUUUGUUUGAGACUUAGGUUUUGUGAUUAAUUUUGAUCUGUGUUUUAUUAUAGGUAAUACUUCUUUCAAGGAUCUUGCUUGUGAUUCACAAAGUUACAUAAAAAUUGUGGUACAAUCAAUCUAACUCUCUUCUAAAUAAGGCUCACUACUACCCAAAGAAAGGUGGGGCUAUAAGUUAGUAGACUCUUCUCAGCUAAGGUUAGAGAUCAGAUUAUGCAUUGUAUCUGGUCAAUUUGCAAGUUUGAUGUUACUACUUUACACCCACAUUUUGCAUGUAUCCAGGAUAGGGUUUAUCCAGGUACAUUUGAAGAUAAAAAUAAGAAGCCCUUCUUCAAAGGUUGUCCUACUCUAUAGAAAGAUGUAAAUCCAUAAGGUAUUGGACCAGAGGAAGUUAAAACCCACAAAAAGAAGAAGUGUUGUAAAAGAGAACAAAGUUCAAAGGCUAUUGGAAUAUCCUUAAUUAUUGGGAACAUCCUUAACUAUUUAAACUUGAGCAGAAAGAUAUGCACACUAUUUAUUCGAAUAUCCUUGAACUCCUUACUACUCACUCAUUUGACAUUCUCAUACUUCUAAAAUUCCCCAUUCUUUGAUUGGUGAUAUAUUUACAAAGUCAUAUAAAGUCCAUAUGUUAUAAACACUAAAUGCCAAUAUAAAUACACUUGAAACUC
Molecule: long non-coding RNA, 772 nt
Organism: Trifolium pratense (red clover)
Lineage: Eukaryota; Viridiplantae; Streptophyta; Magnoliopsida; Fabales; Fabaceae
Exons: 4
Source: RefSeq, a predicted model, not a curated record